Molecule: ribosomal RNA, 692 nt
Filed under: marine metagenome
Description: bacterial SSU rRNA
Rfam family: Archaeal small subunit ribosomal RNA
Source: RNAcentral
UGUUGGAGGAGCUCCGAGCUCUUUCAGUGUCGAAGCGAAGGUGAUAAGUCCACUGCCUGGGAAGUACGGUCGCAAGGCUGAAACUUAAAGGAAUUGGCGGGGGAGCACCGCAACCUGAGGAUUGUGCGGUUUAAUUGGAUUCAACGCCGGAAAACUCACCAUAGCCGACGGACAAAUGAAGGUCAGUGUAAUGAACUUACCGGAUUGUUCGAGAGGUAGUGCAUGGCCGCCGUCAGUUCGUACCGUAAGGCGUUCUGUUAAGUCAGAUAACGAACGAGACCCUCAUCUCUAUUUGCUACCCUUCUCUCCGGAGGAGGCGCACCAUAGGGAGACCGCUGGUGCUAAACCAGAGGAAGGCGAGGGCAACGACAGGUCAGUAUGCCCCGAAUGCUCUGGGCUACACGCGCGCUACAAAGGAUGGGACAAUGGGAAGCCACGCCGAGAGGCGGCGCUACCUCGAAACCCAUUCGUAGUUCGGAUUGAGGGCUGUAACUCGCCCUCAUGAAGCUGGAUUCCGUAGUAAUCGUGUUUCAACAUAGCACGGUGAAUAUGCCCCUGCUCCUUGCACACACCGCCCGUCAAACCAUCUUAGUUGGGGGUGGGUGAGGCUACGUUUUAAUGGCGUAUUCGAGCCUGUCUUCGACAAGGAGGGUUAAGUCGUAACAAGGUAUCUGUAGGGGAACCUGCAGAUG